UUGGAGCAAAGGUUGAGAAAGUGGAAGCGAAUUUCGCAGUAUGAGCAUCGAUAGCCCCGGGCGAGGGGAGAACUAGGGUUUCGAGUAAUUUGGUUGCAGAAGGGAUUUCCAUGGGUGAUGGAGGUGUCGCAUGCAUGCCUUUGCAGCAUAAUAGUAUCAUGGAGAGAUUUCCAAUUCAAGAAAAUACGACAACCCUUUGCAGUGGGGGCAAACCUGGCAACACCACCACCACCGCCCGACCGGUACCAGCAACAACAACAGCAACAACAACAACAACAGCAAUGGCAACAGUACCGCCAAUGGCUUCAACUCAAAGCCCAAGAAAGUUUUGAAGAAGGUAAUUAAGGUCAAAAAGAUUGUUACAGUGAAGAAAACAGUGGCAGAGAAGAGUGAAUUGGGAUCAGAGAAAGCAGUAAAGUUUAGCAAGGAGAAGGAAGCAAAUAUUAGCAAGGAGAAGGAAGCAAAGAUAAGCAAAGAUGUGGUGGCAAAGAGUAGCAAGGAAUAUGAGGCAAAGAUUAGCAAGGAAGCUGACAAUGGUUCGAGUUCUGUUGAUAACAAGGUGCAGAUUACUAAAGAGGAGGUUGAAGAGGGUGAAUUGGGAACUUUAAAAUGGCCACCGAAAGCAGAAGUUGAGAACGGAGAGAUUGUUCCACCAGAGAAGGCGAGGAGAAAUGAAAUUGAGAAGGGAGAGAUUGUUGGUGAGAAAUGGAGGAAAGGGGAUAUGGAGAAGGGUGAGGCUGUUUUGGGUUCGGGCAGAUGGCGAAAAGGGGAAUUUGGCAGAGAUGAGAUUGAGAAAGGAGAGUUCAUUCCAGACAGAUGGCAUAAUAAAGACGAUUACAGUUACAAUAAAUACCGUGGCAGGUACGACACCAGCG
RNAcentral lists this unclassified non-coding RNA (875 nucleotides) under Hevea brasiliensis (rubber tree). The record is from RNAcentral. Lineage: Eukaryota; Viridiplantae; Streptophyta; Magnoliopsida; Malpighiales; Euphorbiaceae.